ACGAACGCUGGCGGCGUGCUUAACACAUGCCAGUCGAACGGAAAGGCCCCAGCUUGCUGGGGUACUCGAGUGGCGAACGGGUGAGUAACACGUGGGUGAUCUGCCCUGCACUCUGGGAUAAGCCUGGGAAACUGGGUCUAAUACCGGAUAGGACCGUGCUUUAGUGUGUGCGGUGGAAAGUUUUUCGGUGCAGGAUGAGCCCGCGGCCUAUCAGCUUGUUGGUGGGGUAAUGGCCUACCAAGGCGGCGACGGGUAGCCGGCCUGAGAGGGUGUACGGCCACAUUGGGACUGAGACACGGCCCAGACUCCUACGGGAGGCAGCAGUGGGGAAUAUUGCACAAUGGGCGCAAGCCUGAUGCAGCGACGCCGCGUGGGGGAUGACGGCCUUCGGGUUGUAAACCCCUUUCGGCAGGGACGAAGCUUUUGUGACGGUACCUGCAUAAGAAGCACCGGCUAACUACGUG
This 464-nucleotide ribosomal RNA is filed under the name uncultured bacterium. RNAcentral's name for it is "partial 16S ribosomal RNA". It matches the Rfam family "Bacterial small subunit ribosomal RNA", at positions 29 to 507 of the family's 1533-position model. The record is from RNAcentral.